GUGUCAGCCGCCGCGGUAAUACGUAGGAUGCAAGCGUUGUUCGGAAUUACUGGGCGUAAAGAGUACGUAGGCGGUAUGGUAAGUCUGAUAUUAAAGACUGAGGCUUAACCUCAGGACUGUAUCGGAAACUGCCAAACUAGAGGACAAUAGAGGAAGUCGGAAUUCUCAGUGUAGCGGUGAAAUGCGUAGAUAUUGGGAAGAACACCAGUGGCGAAAGCGGACUUCUGGGUUGUUACUGACGCUGAGGUACGAAAGCGUGGGGAGCAAACGGGAUUAGAAACCCCCGUAGUCC
RNAcentral lists this ribosomal RNA (292 nucleotides) under uncultured bacterium. RNAcentral describes it as "partial 16S ribosomal RNA". It matches the Rfam family "Bacterial small subunit ribosomal RNA", at positions 505 to 796 of the family's 1533-position model. The record is from RNAcentral.